Molecule: transfer RNA, 73 nt
Filed under: Candidatus Portnoyibacteriota bacterium
Lineage: Bacteria; Candidatus Portnoyibacteriota
Description: Candidatus Portnoybacteria bacterium tRNA-Glu
Rfam family: tRNA
About the family: Transfer RNA (tRNA) molecules are approximately 80 nucleotides in length. Their secondary structure includes four short double-helical elements and three loops (D, anti-codon, and T loops). Further hydrogen bonds mediate the characteristic L-shaped molecular structure. tRNAs have two regions of fundamental functional importance: the anti-codon, which is responsible for specific mRNA codon recognition, and the 3' end, to which the tRNAs corresponding amino acid is attached (by aminoacyl-tRNA synthetases). tRNAs cope with the degeneracy of the genetic code in two manners: having more than one tRNA (with a specific anti-codon) for a particular amino acid; and 'wobble' base-pairing, i.e. permitting non-standard base-pairing at the 3rd anti-codon position.
Source: RNAcentral
GGCCCCGUCGUCUAGUGGCCUAGGACGCCACCCUCUCACGGUGGUAACAGGGGUUCAAAUCCCCUCGGGGCUA